Molecule: transfer RNA, 83 nt
Filed under: Brachybacterium nesterenkovii
Lineage: Bacteria; Bacillati; Actinomycetota; Actinomycetes; Micrococcales; Dermabacteraceae
Rfam family: tRNA
About the family: Transfer RNA (tRNA) molecules are approximately 80 nucleotides in length. Their secondary structure includes four short double-helical elements and three loops (D, anti-codon, and T loops).
Source: Rfam by way of RNAcentral
GCGCGAGUGGCGGAACUGGCAGACGCGCCGGAUUUAGGUUCCGGUGCCCGAGCGGCGUGCGGGUUCGAGUCCCGUCUUGCGCA